AUUGAACGCUGGCGGCAGGCCUAACACAUGCAAGUCGAGCGGAUGAAGGGAGCUUGCUCCUGGAUUCAGCGGCGGACGGGUGAGUAAUGCCUAGGAAUCUGCCUGGUAGUGGGGGAUAACGUCCGGAAACGGGCGCUCAUACCGCAUACGUCCUGAGGGAGAAAGUGGGGGAUCUUCGGACCUCACGCUAUCAGAUGAGCCUAGGUCGGAUUAGCUAGUUGGUGGGGUAAAGGCCUACCAAGGCGACGAUCCGUAACUGGUCUGAGAGGAUGAUCAGUCACACUGGAACUGAGACACGGUCCAGACUCCGACGGGAGGCAGCAGUGGGGAAUAUUGGACAAUGGGCGAAAGCCUGAUCCAGCCAUGCCGCGUGUGUGAAGAAGGGCUUCGGAUUGUAAAGCACUUAAGUUGGGAGGAAGGGCAGUAAGUUAAUACCUUGCUGUUUUGACGUUACCAACAGAAUAAGCACCGGCUAACUUCGUG
RNAcentral lists this ribosomal RNA (483 nucleotides) under uncultured bacterium. Its description in RNAcentral is "partial 16S ribosomal RNA". It matches the Rfam family "Bacterial small subunit ribosomal RNA", at positions 30 to 507 of the family's 1533-position model. The record is from RNAcentral.